GAUGAACGCUGGCGGCGUGCCUAAUACAUGCAAGUCGAGCGAACAGACGAGGAGCUUGCUCCUCUGACGUUAGCGGCGGACGGGUGAGUAACACGUGGAUAACCUACCUAUAAGACUGGGAUAACUUCGGGAAACCGGAGCUAAUACCGGAUAAUAUAUUGAACCGCAUGGUUCAAUAGUGAAAGACGGUUUUGCUGUCACUUAUAGAUGGAUCCGCGCCGCAUUAGCUAGUUGGUAAGGUAACGGCUUACCAAGGCAACGAUGCGUAGCCGACCUGAGAGGGAGAUCGGCCACACUGGAACUGAGAAACGGUCCAGACUCCUACGGGAGGCAGCAGUAGGGAACCUUACGCAAUGGGCGAAAGCCUGACGGAGCAAAGCCGCGUGAGUGAUGAAGGUCUUCGGAUCGUAAAACUCUGUUAUUAGGGAAGAACAAAUGUGUAAGUAACUAUGCACGUCUUGACGGUACCUAAUCAGAAAGCCACGGCUAACUACGUG
RNAcentral lists this ribosomal RNA (497 nucleotides) under uncultured bacterium. Its description in RNAcentral is "partial 16S ribosomal RNA". It matches the Rfam family "Bacterial small subunit ribosomal RNA", at positions 28 to 507 of the family's 1533-position model. The record is from RNAcentral.